Molecule: ribosomal RNA, 407 nt
Filed under: uncultured bacterium
Lineage: Bacteria
Description: partial 16S ribosomal RNA
Rfam family: Bacterial small subunit ribosomal RNA
Source: RNAcentral
GACGAACGCUGGCGGCGUGCCUAAUACAUGCAAGUAGAACGCAGUUGCGAACGGGUGAGUAACGCGUAGGUAACGGCCUCAUAGCGGGGGAUAACUAAUGGAGAAGAUAGCUAAUACCGGAUACUGUGAGAGGGACCGGCGUUGAAUUAGCUAGUUGGUGAGGUAAAGGCUCACCAAGGAGACGAUACCUAGCCGAACUGAGAGGGAGUUCGGCCCAACUGGGACUGGGACCCGGCCCCGACUCCUACGGGAGGCAGCAGGAGGGAAACUUCGGCCAUGGAGCGAAGUCUGACCGAGCAACGCCGCGGUAUUGAAGAAGGUUUUCGGAUCUUAAAGCUCUGUUGUUAGAGAAGCGUUAACUAAACAGAAAGGGACGGCUAACUACGUGCCAGCAGCCGCGGUAAUAC